UUUCUCUCUCCACUUCCUCAG
This 21-nucleotide microRNA is filed under the name Homo sapiens (human). RNAcentral's name for it is "hsa-miR-6833-3p". The record is from miRBase by way of RNAcentral. Lineage: Eukaryota; Metazoa; Chordata; Mammalia; Primates; Hominidae.